UGCAUCCGUAGCUUAGCUGGAUAGAGUACUCGGCUACGAACCGAGCGGUCGGAGGUUCGAAUCCUCCCGGAUGCACCAU
Molecule: transfer RNA, 79 nt
Filed under: Shigella dysenteriae 1012
Lineage: Bacteria; Pseudomonadati; Pseudomonadota; Gammaproteobacteria; Enterobacterales; Enterobacteriaceae
Description: tRNA-Arg
Rfam family: tRNA
About the family: Transfer RNA (tRNA) molecules are approximately 80 nucleotides in length.
Source: RNAcentral